RNAcentral lists this long non-coding RNA (308 nucleotides) under Androctonus crassicauda. Lineage: Eukaryota; Metazoa; Arthropoda; Arachnida; Scorpiones; Buthidae. The record is from RNAcentral.
CUCAUGGUCUUGCAUCAUUCCUGCUAGAGCAACAGAGCCCACGCUGAAUACCCAAAACACACAGUUUCCUCCAGACGGUCCUAAUUGCCAACCCAGUAUGGGAAUUUGGGAACCUUUGGCAAAUCAACUUGAACACUCUUAUGAAAUUUGGUGCAAGACUUACACAAUAACAGCAGCUGUCUGUAAAUACCUUCCUUUCCACCAGUACUCAGACAUGCACAUCCACAUACAGGGUGGGACUGAGCCAAGUCCUUUCUCUGGAAAGGUUUGCAGGGCUGUUUGAUUGAGUUCAUUCUCAGAUUUUCAUC